Molecule: ribosomal RNA, 443 nt
Filed under: uncultured bacterium
Lineage: Bacteria
Description: partial 16S ribosomal RNA
Rfam family: Bacterial small subunit ribosomal RNA
Source: RNAcentral
CCUACGGGAGGCAGCAGUGGGGAAUAUUGGGCAAUGGGCGCAAGCCUGACCCAGCGACGCCGCGUGAAGGAAGAAGGAUUUCGGGUCGUAAACUUCUUUUCUCAGGGACGAAGAUAGUGAUGGUACCUGAGGAAUCAGCCACGGAUAACUACGUGCCAGCAGCGGCGGUAAUACGUAGGGGGCAAGCGUUAUCCGGAUUUACUGGGGUUAAAGGGCGAGUAGGCGGGACUGCAAGGCAGAUGUGAAACCCACGGGAUCAACCCGUGGACUGCAUUGGAAACUGUAGUUGUUGAGUACUGGAGAGGCAGACGGAAUUCCUAGUGUAGCGGUGAAAUGCGUAGAUAUUAGGAGGAACACCAGUGGAGAAGGCGGUCUGCUGGACAGCAACUGACGUUGAGGCGCGAAAGCGUGGGGAGCAAACAGGAUUAGAUACCCCUGUAGUC